Molecule: ribosomal RNA, 2906 nt
Filed under: Salmonella enterica subsp. enterica serovar Typhimurium
Lineage: Bacteria; Pseudomonadati; Pseudomonadota; Gammaproteobacteria; Enterobacterales; Enterobacteriaceae
Description: 23S ribosomal RNA
Rfam family: Bacterial large subunit ribosomal RNA
Source: RNAcentral
GGUUAAGCGACUAAGCGUACACGGUGGAUGCCCUGGCAGUCAGAGGCGAUGAAGGGCGUGCUAAUCUGCGAUAAGCGCCGGUAAGGUGAUAUGAACCGUUAUAACCGGCGAUACCCGAAUGGGGAAACCCAGUGUGAUUCGUCACACUAUCAUUAACUGAAUCCAUAGGUUAAUGAGGCGAACCGGGGGAACUGAAACAUCUAAGUACCCCGAGGAAAAGAAAUCAACCGAGAUUCCCCCAGUAGCGGCGAGCGAACGGGGAGGAGCCCAGAGCCUGAAUCAGCAUGUGUGUUAGUGGAAGCGUCUGGAAAGGCGCGCGAUACAGGGUGACAGCCCCGUACACAAAAGCGCAUGUGCUGUGAGCUCGAUGAGUAGGGCGGGACACGUGGUAUCCUGUCUGAAUAUGGGGGGACCAUCCUCCAAGGCUAAAUACUCCUGACUGACCGAUAGUGAACCAGUACCGUGAGGGAAAGGCGAAAAGAACCCCGGCGAGGGGAGUGAAAAAGAACCUGAAACCGUGUACGUACAAGCAGUGGGAGCACCCUUCGGGGUGUGACUGCGUACCUUUUGUAUAAUGGGUCAGCGACUUAUAUUCUGUAGCAAGGUUAACCGUAUAGGGGAGCCGGAGGGAAACCGAGUCUUAAUUGGGCGUUAAGUUGCAGGGUAUAGACCCGAAACCCGGUGAUCUAGCCAUGGGCAGGUUGAAGGUUGGGUAACACUAACUGGAGGACCGAACCGACUAAUGUUGAAAAAUUAGCGGAUGACCUGUGGCUGGGGGUGAAAGGCCAAUCAAACCGGGAGAUAGCUGGUUCUCCCCGAAAGCUAUUUAGGUAGCGCCUCGUGAAUUCAUCUCCGGGGGUAGAGCACUGUUUCGGCUAGGGGGCCAUCCCGGCUUACCAACCCGAUGCAAACUGCGAAUACCGGAGAAUGUUAUCACGGGAGACACACGGCGGGUGCUAACGUCCGUCGUGAAGAGGGAAACAACCCAGACCGCCAGCUAAGGUCCCAAAGUCAUGGUUAAGUGGGAAACGAUGUGGGAAGGCCCAGACAGCCAGGAUGUUGGCUUAGAAGCAGCCAUCAUUUAAAGAAAGCGUAAUAGCUCACUGGUCGAGUCGGCCUGCGCGGAAGAUGUAACGGGGCUAAACCAUGCACCGAAGCUGCGGCAGCGACGCUGAUGCGUUGUUGGGUAGGGGAGCGUUCUGUAAGCCUGCGAAGGUGACCUGUGAGGGUUGCUGGAGGUAUCAGAAGUGCGAAUGCUGACAUAAGUAACGAUAAAGCGGGUGAAAAGCCCGCUCGCCGGAAGACCAAGGGUUCCUGUCCAACGUUAAUCGGGGCAGGGUGAGUCGACCCCUAAGGCGAGGCCGAAAGGCGUAGUCGAUGGGAAACGGGUUAAUAUUCCCGUACUUGGUGUUACUGCGAAGGGGGGACGGAGAAGGCUAUGUUGGCCGGGCGACGGUUGUCCCGGUUUAAGCGUGUAGGUGUGUGUUCCAGGUAAAUCCGGUUCACUUUAACACUGAGGCGUGACGACGAGGCACUACGGUGCUGAAGCAACAAAUGCCCUGCUUCCAGGAAAAGCCUCUAAGCAUCAGGUAACACGAAAUCGUACCCCAAACCGACACAGGUGGUCAGGUAGAGAAUACCAAGGCGCUUGAGAGAACUCGGGUGAAGGAACUAGGCAAAAUGGUGCCGUAACUUCGGGAGAAGGCACGCUGACACGUAGGUGAAGUGAUUUACUCAUGGAGCUGAAGUCAGUCGAAGAUACCAGCUGGCUGCAACUGUUUAUUAAAAACACAGCACUGUGCAAACACGAAAGUGGACGUAUACGGUGUGACGCCUGCCCGGUGCCGGAAGGUUAAUUGAUGGGGUCAGCGCAAGCGAAGCUCCUGAUCGAAGCCCCGGUAAACGGCGGCCGUAACUAUAACGGUCCUAAGGUAGCGAAAUUCCUUGUCGGGUAAGUUCCGACCUGCACGAAUGGCGUAAUGAUGGCCAGGCUGUCUCCACCCGAGACUCAGUGAAAUUGAACUCGCUGUGAAGAUGCAGUGUACCCGCGGCAAGACGGAAAGACCCCGUGAACCUUUACUAUAGCUUGACACUGAACAUUGAGCCUUGAUGUGUAGGAUAGGUGGGAGGCUUUGAAGUGUGGACGCCAGUCUGCAUGGAGCCGACCUUGAAAUACCACCCUUUAAUGUUUGAUGUUCUAACGUGGACCCGUAAUCCGGGUUGCGGACAGUGUCUGGUGGGUAGUUUGACUGGGGCGGUCUCCUCCUAAAGAGUAACGGAGGAGCACGAAGGUUGGCUAAUCCUGGUCGGACAUCAGGAGGUUAGUGCAAUGGCAUAAGCCAGCUUGACUGCGAGCGUGACGGCGCGAGCAGGUGCGAAAGCAGGUCAUAGUGAUCCGGUGGUUCUGAAUGGAAGGGCCAUCGCUCAACGGAUAAAAGGUACUCCGGGGAUAACAGGCUGAUACCGCCCAAGAGUUCAUAUCGACGGCGGUGUUUGGCACCUCGAUGUCGGCUCAUCACAUCCUGGGGCUGAAGUAGGUCCCAAGGGUAUGGCUGUUCGCCAUUUAAAGUGGUACGCGAGCUGGGUUUAGAACGUCGUGAGACAGUUCGGUCCCUAUCUGCCGUGGGCGCUGGAGAACUGAGGGGGGCUGCUCCUAGUACGAGAGGACCGGAGUGGACGCAUCACUGGUGUUCGGGUUGUCAUGCCAAUGGCACUGCCCGGUAGCUAAAUGCGGAAGAGAUAAGUGCUGAAAGCAUCUAAGCACGAAACUUGCCCCGAGAUGAGUUCUCCCUGAGACUUAGAGUCUCCUGAAGGAACGUUGAAGACGACGACGUUGAUAGGCCGGGUGUGUAAGCGCAGCGAUGCGUUGAGCUAACCGGUACUAAUGAACCGUGAGGCUUAACCUU